Molecule: unclassified non-coding RNA, 300 nt
Rfam family: Eukaryotic small subunit ribosomal RNA (bases 1-46)
AAGUCGUAACAAGGUUUCCGUAGGUGAACCUGCGGAAGGAUCAUUACUGGGUUUUGGGGCUUCGGCCCCGCUCCCCACCCUUUGCUAUGAGAUGCGCAAGCUAUCAAUGUCCCCGCCUGUUUGGCCUGGUGCAUGCUGCGCUACCCUGGAACGAUGGCGAGGCCCGAAAACCUAGCGGUACCCUCCCCCCCGUUUUCGGCGGGGAGACUGCUAGGUUUUAUGGACCCCCCGCCGGGGCAGAAAGGGAGCGGCGCAGUGACUCGGGCCAAACCUACACAUCCUGAAGUAAGCCUGAAGUCU